Molecule: non-coding RNA, 3489 nt
Organism: Coturnix japonica (Japanese quail)
Lineage: Eukaryota; Metazoa; Chordata; Aves; Galliformes; Phasianidae
Source: RefSeq, a predicted model, not a curated record
GAUCCUUGAGGUCCCUUCCAACCCGGGUCAUUCUGUGAUUCUGUGUGACCUGGGAGAAGAGGCUGACACUUCACAGGAGCUUGUGCUUCAUUUCCUUCAUCUCAAGUGCAGACUUUUCUCUUUGUAUAAUGUCAGAAAGAACCAGCUGUGUCUGCAGCACCUCUGAAAUGAGCAUUUGUUCUACAGAAUUCUCAAGUAACUGAUGUUCAUUGUAAAAGCACAUCUGCAGAGCUUCCCCCCAUCUCACAUCUCACCAAAACCUGUGCUCUUAAUAACAAGGCUGCACUCAUGCAUUCAGCAGUACUAUGAAGUUAUGGCAGUAUCUGCAAGUCACCCUGCUCCACUUGUCACUCCUAACCUCGAACAUUCAGGUGCGAGACUGAGAGCUGAAGUAGAUUUAUAAAUAGCUCUGUAGAUGACAGUUUGGGGGCGAUCCAGGAGGAAUAAGCGGGAUGUUGUAGCCACCUCUCCUACCUCCUGCUGUGACUGUGCAAAAAUGACAAAAACAAAACAGCACAUGAUACACAUUGGCAGAUCGGUCGGAAUAACGGUUCUGUCCUCUCGUGUGGAACCCAUGGAUUGUUUUUUGUUGUAUUGUGGGAUACAAGGACAAGUUAAAGAUUCUGUUUUGUCGUAGUCACAACAAAGAGAACUGUAGUCUAGUACAAGUAAACUCAGUCCAGUCUCCAGAGGCAAUUGUUGUAUGUGUGAAAAACACAGUGCCCAUUUUUAAGAGACAAGACCUGGUCUUUAUAGUUUGAUCAACUGAUUUCUUUAUCAGAAGAUUCAAUACAAGAAAAGCACAUCUUAAAUCUCUUUGGCUGCCUAAGCACCUGACAGAUGGUCCAACCGCACCAAGUUCUGAGCUGUUAACAGGGAGUUGCCCUCCCUGUCCCUCGGCACUGCAGCAUGAGAACACAUCCUGUGAGCAUCUCAGCUGGUGUGAGUUUGUGAGUAAAGAAGGAAAUGCUUCAGCAUUAGCCUGGAAGAACAGCUUAGAGUCACAGCAGCACUAUUCAUCAAAGGACUGCACCUCUUGACAUGCAGAAGUAACUGAACAGACAGGAUAUUUACUAGGAGUGCACGAGUAGAUCAUUGCCAUUCAGUGGCACAGCUGUAUUUACCCAGCAUACUCUGCAGUUCUGUAUUAUGGAUUUGUAUCCUCAAGAACAAACUGUCUCCCAGCUUUUUCCAUGGGAAAUGAGUGUAAGACAACUCCAGCUGCCUGAAACCCCCACUCCCAGCACAAGGAAUUAGAGUAAGAACAUCAGCAUUCUUAAAAAGAAAAAAAAGGCAAAAUAAUCAUUAGGAUGAUGUAAAGGGCACUUUUGUGAGAAGGCUCGUGUCAUGGGCUCAUGCUAGCACACCCGAUAGUAAUAUAAAUGGAAAAGUAGGCCUUGCUUACAGCAGAAAGACUUCAGACUGCCAUUGGAUACCUCUGCAUUUCCUAGGCACUACUCUCAUGGAGCAGGGGGCUGAAUUUUCUCAAAAUCACCUGUUUGUGAUAAAGAGCCAGAUGACCUCAAAGCAGGUGUGAUUUAGUAAAAUGUUGCCUGUUCCAUCCUCAACAGUCUUAGCAGGAUUUAGUUUGCUAUGAACCCUAACCAGAAAAGCAGGGAUUCUGCUGGUGGCUCUAGGGAGAGUCAAGGAUCUCUCUGGUGCCCCAUUUAACCACUGGUACUGGGACCACCAUCCUCAGCAACUGAGCCCUGCACCAUCCAACUCACAGCACUUUCCCCAGUAACAUCUUCAUAGGAGGCUCAUUCUCACAGGUGUUGCCUAAUUAGAUAAUUAAGAAGAGAAUUAGGUGAAAACAGGCAGCCUGAACAGGGUGCUCUGUGCCACAUUUAUUUGUGAUAGAACUCUUGUGGUCUAUGAAGUGCAAUCUGCCACUAAGUAUGGAAAAACAUUCACUCCUCUGAAACUUCAGAGGCUGUGGUAAGGUCAGAGAUGUAGGGGGCACAUGAUUUCUGUAUCCACGGACUACCAGGAGUGCUUCACCUGUCUCUGCAGACCCUCUGUCCCUGCUAGGUUUCCCCUCCACAUCACUGCCGAGGUGCAGGAUGCUUUGCUUAAGUGCAUGAACAUAACGUUUUCCUCAUGUUCAGGUCCACAGCUUCUCUGUGCAAAAGUUUUGUUGCCAGUAGGUGGCAUACUUCUCCUGACUCUGGAGACUGAAAAGGCUUGCUGCUUGUCUGAACUAGCUCUUAUCAAGUGCUGAUAGCUGUUCUGCAAAAAUAGUAUCUUUCUCUGGUAGAGCUCUCUUUUAUGAUAGGAUUAGGCUCAAACCAGUUUUAGAAUAAGCUCAAUAUAAUCUGAGACAGACUUGAUUAUUACUGUCCAUAUUUGUGCUUUCCCCAUUUUUGCCAGAGCUUUUCAUCCACUGCUGCUGAUCCAUCGGCACAAGUCUUCUGCUGCAGUUUCUUGUAGGUUGCUUGGCCUUACAUGCAGGAGGUAAUUAAUUAGUUCUCCGAUGUGUGACUUGGACAUUCCUGCUCUACUGCUAACUUGACAAAGAGUGUAAUUCAGUGUGGAAUAAUGUCCUCACAGUAUUGUAGACAGUAACUAAAGUCCAUAUGGAAAUAUCCAGGUUGUGCAUCUCAUGGCUCUUUUGUAAAUAGAACUUUCUGGCAUGAAGAACAGCAUCCCACUUGCAAUAAAAUAAUCAAUUUCUAAGAAACCCAGGUUAACCAAGGUCUCUGCUGGAACUUAACCUUGAACAUAUUGUUGUCUUCAAUGGAGCCAUACACAGAGCACGCAGUUAAACAUAUCUACAAUUCCAGUCUGUGAAAAUUCAGUGAUACAAAGUUGUAACUGCACAGGCCUAUUGGCAGGAUAAAGAUCCCAAGUUCGACCUGAAAACUGUUAUUUUAGCUGUUAGUUUUCUCUGACAAAACAAAGCAAAACAAACCUCACCAGAUUGCUUAUUGUUUCAUUAUUCAGCAGUUCCUCAUCUUGUCUCUUCAGCAAUCCAUUUCUUUGGUCUGGAACAAAUAAGCAGAGUGCUUUUUAGAAACAUACUAUUUUAUCUAACUUUGUUCUCAGCAAUGGCAGGUGAAUUUUAGCACUGACUUCGGUGUAACCAGAAUUAAGCUAAAGCUGAGUAUAUUCCAAAAUCCUGCUGAGGACCUGGUAACAUUACUGAGUUCUCAGGUAGCUACUUAGGCAACAGCAGCGCCCAACAGACAAUAUUCUCUGACUUCUCUCAUUUAAGUCUGCCCUUGCCCAACUGAUUUUCAUUCCAGAAGUCAAAGCAUUCAGAUUGUAUAGUUGAUAACUAGAAAUAAAAUGAGUUUCCUUUCCUUUGGGGGAAAAAAAUAACAACUAAAAGUAAUACAUGUAAUAGAAGUUCAAUUGGAAGCUUGUUCUAAAUUUCAGCUUCUCCACACAUUUUUAGUUCUACUGUUAGAUUGUUUUUUGUUGGAUUUUAUGAUCAGCUUGAAUAUGAAGUUUUCUCUUUGUGGGUGGUAAAUAAAAUGACUUAAGUCC